This 140-nucleotide unclassified non-coding RNA is filed under the name uncultured fungus. Its description in RNAcentral is "sequence contains ITS1, 5.8S rRNA gene". The record is from RNAcentral. Lineage: Eukaryota; Fungi.
CUGAGUUUUUAACUCUCCAAACCAUGUGAACUUACCACUGUUGCCUCGGUGGUCGGUGCUGGAAACAGUGCUGCCACCGGUGGACUACUAAACUCUUGUUAAUUUUUGUCAAAUCUGAAUCAAAACUAAGAAAUAAGUUA